AGAAUAUCUUCCUGUUUGAUAUCCAAUCUUGGCUUCUUUUGCACUUGGGAUGGAUUAUUAGGGUCCUGUAGGAAGGCACCAGGAGCCCGUGGGCCAAUGGGAAGUGAAGCUUGUGCAGCUUGUGAAGAAGGCAGGGAUGUAGCACUUGAUGCCCCCUGUUGUUGCUGCUGCUGAUUCUGCUGGACUUGCUGCGUGCUUGGGUCUUGAUGAUUUCCCUGCUGCACUACAGAGGACCCAUCAAC
This 242-nucleotide unclassified non-coding RNA is filed under the name Hevea brasiliensis (rubber tree). The record is from RNAcentral. Lineage: Eukaryota; Viridiplantae; Streptophyta; Magnoliopsida; Malpighiales; Euphorbiaceae.